Molecule: long non-coding RNA, 1738 nt
Organism: Heterocephalus glaber (naked mole-rat)
Lineage: Eukaryota; Metazoa; Chordata; Mammalia; Rodentia; Bathyergidae
Source: Ensembl
ACUCAACCCCUUGACACUUAGGUAAUAAUGUGCAAAUGAGGGAACUUGGAUCUUGCUGCCAAGGGGUUAAAAUCAGGAACCUCAAUUGCUACUAAAUCAUAGUUUAAAAACAGAUCUAAUAAUGUUGUCAUUGUUGCUAUAUGAUUCCAUAGCAGCAUUCACUAAAUUGGAAACAAAGGUUGCAACAGGACAAAAAAUUGCGUAGUAUUUACCAGCACCAUUCAGUAAUACAGUCUUAACCAUACCUCCUUGAGCUACUUCAUACUUGUCAAGAAAAGCAGUUUGCAGCAAGGGCACGUGGUGUGCACCUAAUAUUAAAAUUGCUUUGUCUUAAAAUUGAGCAUGAGGAUAUUAAAAAUCCAUUGUGAAGAAGACUGCUUAUCUCAGAGUGAAGAUACUUAAAAAUUAAAUGAACAAAACCCUCCAACUUUGAAGCUGAAGAAGACUCCCAACAUUCAACCACUUAGCAGAGAAGCAAGAGCCUGCAACAUCUCUGCUAUCAAUGCUGAGUCUUUAGAAAACUUCAGCUUCACUCCAACUACGGGUAACUGGGAAAAGGGGAAUGAGGACAGAUGUCCUUCCCACAAAAUCGCAUCUUAUCUUCCAUCCCCCAGCCUGCUGGUUAUUUGGAGGUAGAAGGGAGAGGAAACACAAACACGUUCUGCAAAGAAAGGCUGAGAGGACACAGCAUCAGCCCCUAAAUUUGCAUAACCAGUACCCUGGAUAGGACCAUAAAAGGAGGAUGUGGAUGCCAUUGAAUCUCACACCAAACACCAAUUAUUUCUAGCAGAAAGAGCAAGCUCUCCACUCUCGUAAUCUCUGUAAAAAAAAUUUACCAGAACACAUUCUUCAGAUCCUAGGUGUAUGUGCUAGGCUAAAGAGGAUAUCAUAUUGAGGAAGAAUCUCCUGCUUCUCAUUUCUUCCUGAGACCAUCUCUCUGUGUACACAGCUUUCCAGAAUUGCCUCUGCCCCCUGCUACCUUUCAAGUGUGGUUAUCCCAAAGUCGCUAGCUCCCUGCCCAGGUACACACUCGCGCUCUGGAGUCAGACCGCUUCCAUUCUGACACAUCUCCAUAGCUUUCUCUGCGGCCUAUUUGCUGUCUGUCCCAAGCAAGUGACUUAACCUACUCCAAAGUCCUGUUUGCUGUCUGCUCUAGAGUCACUGCUUCAGGAACCUAUAGGACUUUUCUCCCGCAUGAAGGCAGGACUCUCCCAGAUGAUGACUGUCUUAGUAGACAUAAGCUGGGGACAGACCAGAGAAGCGCUUCACGAGUGUCUUCCCUAUAACAAGGACACCUGGCCCUAGGGCAAACCCCUGAGCACUGGGCCACUCAACAGGAUAAAGAUUAACCCCAUGAAAGCUGCAUUGUAAAUCUGCACAACUAACUCUCUGGAGUCCAGUCAAGGGCAGAGCUUGAACUUAUAGCCAUUUUCAUGAAUGAUAUGCCAAGACUAAACCAGUGAGCAACACGUGUAAGAACAGAGCUGUAGGAAUCACAAUCCCUGACUUCAAAAUGUACUGCAGAGCUGCAGUAAUCAAGUGUAUCAUACUGGGAUAAAAACACACAUAUAGACUAAGGAAUCAGAAUAGAGACCCUGAAACCAGCUCAUGCAAACAGUCAAGUGUCUUCACAAAGUGUGGUAGAACACACGUGUGGACAUGAUUCAGUAACCACCAUUGCGAGGACCAUGCCUAUGUGGCUGAAGAGUGGGAUCAAGUCCUGCCUGACAUCGUAUAC